CAUUUCGGGGGGUUGGGAGCUCGCGCUGAAUGCUCGGGCUUGCAAGUGGCAAUAUUUUCUAAUUUGCCCUUGCGAUGCAAGUAACUGGGAAGGUUGAAGAGGUGCUUCCCAGUAUCCGCAAACAGGAUGACAAUGACAGUAAUUCUGGAAAAAAGUGCAGGUGCAAAGUAUGAAAUGAAAACAGAGCUGACACCAAGUUAGAAUCAUCAAGGUUGGAAAAGAACCAAGUUCAUCUAGACCAACCUUUGGCCACCACGUUAACUAAACCAUAGCACUAAGUGCUAUAUCACGUCUCUGGACAGCCAAUUCUAAUACUUUUUAACCCUUUUAGUCAGUAAAUGCUUCCUGAUGAAGAAUUCACCUUCAGUAUCCUUCAUCCAGGAUCUCAAAAGUGUCUUAUUUCCCUAAGGCUCACAACAUCUUGUGUGGUACUAUUCCAUUUUAUAGAAGGGUAAACAGAUGCUGGCAACAUGACCAGCAAAGGCACAGAGGACAGUGAACUUCUCUAGCCCUUACACACAGCCCAAGCUGCAGCAAAGCCACCCUGUGCACUGUGCAGACAUGUUACCUGAAGUCAGGUGGGAGACCUUUUCUGGGGAGAGAGGCUUUCCUGGGAGAAGUACUUGCUCUUCUCGUUGUUAUCUGUUCUGCUUUGACUCCUUCCCUGUCCCGAUUUGUACCAGGUUGGGGCCAGCACUGAGCACAGUGCCUGCAAAUGGAUUCUGGUGUGCCUGCCUUUAAUAUGGCUUUUCAUUGCCUGGGGGAGAUAGAUCCUAGCUUUUAUUCAGAUCCCAGAUAAUCCUGUGAUGCAGAAAGUGAGUGGGCAAAACUGGGAAUGAAAGCCAACGCAUGCCGAUGCUCAGGCCGUUUAUCAUCUGUCUUACAGCAAAGGACAAAAGUGGAGGUAGCGGAUGAAAAAUGAGGAGGGUGCCAAAGUAAACAACUUUAGAGAGGUAGGAGGUGCAUGAAGAAGAGAGCAGAUCAACAGCUGCAAUGCCAGGUCAGGCUGACCCAGGGGAAAGUGCUCUCAAGGGACCAUACCCAGAGAAUGCAGAGGUCCCAAAACCAGGCCCCACCAUAAUAACAGCCUCAUCAACUUUCAAAGGACAAGAGGUAAGAG
Molecule: long non-coding RNA, 1120 nt
Organism: Corapipo altera (White-ruffed manakin)
Lineage: Eukaryota; Metazoa; Chordata; Aves; Passeriformes; Pipridae
Exons: 3
Source: RefSeq, a predicted model, not a curated record